UGGGUUAUGGGCAGAAAUCUGUGCCAUCAGAAACUGAAUUUGAAUAAGUUAAAUUUGAAUUUGAAUUACUCGGAUUGAAUCUGAAUUGUAACUUGAAUGAAAGCUUUUGAAAACUGAAUUUGAAUUAGUCUAAUUUGAAAUUGAAUUUAUGGUUUGAAAAUGAAUUGAUUUGCUUUGAAACUGCAUUUUAUCCUUUAAAAAUUCAGCUCUCGAAUAAUUUCACAUUCACUUCUCACCAUUCAGUUUCAGUUCUACAAUUCAAUUUCAGUUCCAAAAUUCAGUUUUUUGGGACUUACAUCCGGUUCCGGUUCAAGCGCAGAUUAAUAGAACUACAGACUGAUAGCGUUACUGACGGAAUCUACAGCGUCUUGAGCUGAAUUAAGACUUCAGAAGUCAUUCAUCAUGUCGAAUGACCAGCGGAUAAACUCUCAGGUGUUUUGUGCCAGAAAUGGAGUGUCCACUGAAGACUGAAGAUACUGAAUCUCUGGCUUGCCAUUGAUCCCUCCUGUGCCUUCAUCUAGACAAGAGACAUCAACUUAACCACUCUCACAUGCUCUGUACCUACAUCACCUUCCCUGACAGUCGUAGCUUGGCUCGUCUGAGGGUGAAAUUAUAAGAAUGUGUUAUUUUGCAAAGUGCUCUCUAGGGUUCCUAAAUAAAAUAUGGCAUUGAGGUCAUUUCUUUUGAAUUAAUCCCUUCUUCUGAAAUAUAAGAACCUCUCCUGGUUUAAAUGGCACUUUCUGUUCCUUACUUCCUGUUCCACUCCCAAACCCAAAUAGAUGCUGACAAGCUGACACAGUAACAUGGAAGAGGGAAAGAAGCUGGAAAGGACUACUACAAAUAAACCCAAUGCCUAACAAUGAAAAAUGUAAAAUAAGAACAAUAAUAAUAAUAAAGAUAAAAGAUGAAGUAACAAGUUUUUUGUUUUUUUUGUUUAUUCCAAAUGAUCAUCCAGAUGUCUGUGACAUGUGAUGACAAACACCAUAAUGGAAGGCCUUUGUCAUCACAUGCUUAAACUCAUCAUAUAUUUUUGCACAUGCUGAACAGGCAGUCAGACAUGCUGUAACUGUGGGGUAGAAAACUGCAUGAACACCAUACA
Molecule: long non-coding RNA, 1099 nt
Organism: Oreochromis aureus
Lineage: Eukaryota; Metazoa; Chordata; Actinopteri; Cichliformes; Cichlidae
Source: Ensembl